UUCCGGUUGAUCCCGCCGGAGGCGACCGCUUUGGGAGUUCGAUUAAGCCAUGCGAGUCGUGAGUCUUAGGGACUCGGCAUACUGCUCAGUAACACGUGGAUAACCUGCCCUAUCGUCUGGAAUAACCUCGGGAAACUGAGAAUAAGGCCGGAUAGUUCACAAUGCCUGGAACGGUUUGUGAAUCAAGGUAGGAUGGGUCUGCGGCGUAUCAGGUUGUAGGGGGUGUAAAGGACCCCCUAGCCUUCGACGCGUACGGGUGUUGGGAGACAUAGCCCGGAGAUGGAUUCUGAGACACGAAUCCAGACCCUACGGGGUGCAGCAGGCGCGAAAACUUCACACUGCAGGAAACUGUGAUGAGGGAACUCCUAGUGCAUGCACUAUGUGUAUGUAGAUCCUACUCUUAACAAGUAGAGGGAAAGGGCUGGGAAAGACCGGUGCCAGCCGCCGCGGUAAUACCGGCAGCUCAAGUGGUCGUCGCUUUUAUUGGGCCUAAAACGUCCGUAGCCUGUUUGGUAAAUCUGUGGGUAAAUCAAUCCGCUCAACGGAUUGAAUUCUGCAGAGACUGCCAGACUAGGGACCGGGAGAGGUGUGGGGUACUCGAGGGGUAGGGGUAAAAUCCUGUCAUCCUUCGAGGACCACCAGUUGCGAAGGCGCCACACUGGAACGGAUCCGACGGUCA
RNAcentral lists this ribosomal RNA (679 nucleotides) under uncultured euryarchaeote. RNAcentral describes it as "bacterial SSU rRNA". It matches the Rfam family "Archaeal small subunit ribosomal RNA", at positions 1 to 700 of the family's 1478-position model. The record is from RNAcentral. Lineage: Archaea; Methanobacteriati; Methanobacteriota.